UAUCAACGCUGAGGUGUGAUGACGAGCCACUACGGUGGUGAAGUAGUUGAUGCCAAGCUUCCAGGAAAAGCCUCUAAGCAUCAGGUGACAUUCAAUCGUACCCCAAACCGACACAGGUGGUCAGGUAGAGAAUACUCAGGCGCUUGAGAGAACUCGGGUGAAGGAACUAGGCAAAAUGGUGCCGUAACUUCGGGAGAAGGCACGCUGGCAUUAGGUAAAGAGACUUGCUCUCGGCGCCGAAGCCAGUCGCAGAUACCAGCUGGCUGCAACUGUUUAAUAAAAACACAGCACUGUGCAAACACGAAAGUGGACGUAUACGGUGUGACGCCUGCCCGGUGCUGGAAGGUUAAUUGAUGGGGUCAGCCGCAAGGCGAAGCUCUUGAUCGAAGCCCCAGUAAACGGCGGCCGUAACUAUAACGGUCCUAAGGUAGCGAAAUUCCUUGUCGGGUAAGUUCCGACCUGCACGAAUGGCGUAAUGAUGGCCAGGCUGUCUCCACCCGAGACUCAGUGAAAUUGAACUCGCUGUGAAGAUGCAGUGUACCCGCGGCAAGACGGAAAGACCCCGUGAACCUUUACUAUAGCUUGACACUGAAUAUUGAGCCUUGAUGUGUAGGAUAGGUGGGAGGCAUCGAAGCGUGGACGCCAGUCUGCGUGGAGCCAACCUUGAAAUACCACCCUUUAAUGUUUGAUGUUCUAACUCGGCCCCAUAAUCUGGGGUGAGGACAGUGUCUGGUGGGUAGUUUGACUGGGGCGGUCUCCUCCCAAAGAGUAACGGAGGAGCACGAAGGUUAGCUAAUCACGGUCGGACAUCGUGAGGUUAGUGCAAAGGCAUAAGCUAGCUUGACUGCGAGAGUGACGGCUCGAGCAGGUACGAAAGUAGGUCUUAGUGAUCCGGUGGUUCUGAAUGGAAGGGCCAUCGCUCAACGGAUAAAAGGUACUCCGGGGAUAACAGGCUGAUACCGCCCAAGAGUUCAUAUCGACGGCGGUGUUUGGCACCUCGAUGUCGGCUCAUCACAUCCUGGGGCUGAAGUAGGUCCCAAGGGUAUGGCUGUUCGCCAUUUAAAGUGGUACGCGAGCUGGGUUUAGAACGUCGUGAGACAGUUCGGUCCCUAUCUGCCGUGGGCGUUGGAAGAUUGAGAGGGGCUGCUCCUAGUACGAGAGGACCGGAGUGGACGCAUCACUGGUGUUCGGGUUGUCAUGCCAAUGGCAUUGCCCGGUAGCUAAAUGCGGAAAAGAUAAGCGCUGAAAGCAUCUAAGCGCGAAACUU
Molecule: ribosomal RNA, 1267 nt
Filed under: Yersinia ruckeri
Lineage: Bacteria; Pseudomonadati; Pseudomonadota; Gammaproteobacteria; Enterobacterales; Yersiniaceae
Description: partial 23S ribosomal RNA
Rfam family: Bacterial large subunit ribosomal RNA
Source: RNAcentral